Molecule: ribosomal RNA, 253 nt
Filed under: uncultured bacterium
Lineage: Bacteria
Description: partial 16S ribosomal RNA
Rfam family: Bacterial small subunit ribosomal RNA
Source: RNAcentral
UACGGAGGGUGCAAGCGUUAUCCGGAUUUACUGGGUUUAAAGGGUGCGUAGGUGGACUUGUAAGUCAGUGGUGAAAUCUCCGAGCUUAACUCGGAAACUGCCAUUGAUACUAUUAGUCUUGAAUACUGUGGAGGUUAGCGGAAUAUGUCAUGUAGCGGUGAAAUGCUUAGAUAUGACAUAGAACACCAAUUGCGAAGGCAGCUGGCUACACAAAUAUUGACACUGAGGCACGAAAGCGUGGGGAUCAAACAGG